This 329-nucleotide ribosomal RNA is filed under the name uncultured eukaryote. Its description in RNAcentral is "partial 18S ribosomal RNA". It matches the Rfam family "Eukaryotic small subunit ribosomal RNA", at positions 1470 to 1796 of the family's 1831-position model. The record is from RNAcentral.
CCCUUAGAUGUUCUGGGCCGCACGCGCGCUACACUGACGAUGUCAACGAGUCUCUCCUUCGCCGAAAGGCGCGGGUAAUCUUCUGAAACAUCGUCGUGCUGGGGAUAGAUCAUUGCAAUUCUUGAUCUUGAACGAGGAAUUCCUAGUAAGCGCGAGUCAUCAGCUCGCGUUGAUUACGUCCCUGCCCUUUGUACACACCGCCCGUCGCUACUACCGAUUGAAUGGUUUAGUGAGGACUCCUGAUUGGCGCCGCCGCGCCGGCAACGGAGCAGCGGACUGCCGAAAAGUUGUUCAAACUUGAUCAUUUAGAGGAAGUAAAAGUCGUAACA